RNAcentral lists this ribosomal RNA (388 nucleotides) under uncultured bacterium. RNAcentral's name for it is "bacterial SSU rRNA". It matches the Rfam family "Bacterial small subunit ribosomal RNA", at positions 30 to 416 of the family's 1533-position model. The record is from RNAcentral.
AUUGAACGCUGGCGGCAUGCCUUACACAUGCAAGUCGAACGGCAGCACGGGAGCAAUCCUGGUGGCGAGUGGCGAACGGGUGAGUAAUAUAUCGGAACGUGCCCAGUCGUGGGGGAUAACGUAGCGAAAGCUACGCUAAUACCGCAUACGAUCUAUGGAUGAAAGCGGGGGAUCGCAAGACCUCGCGCGAUUGGAGCGGCCGAUAUCAGAUUAGGUAGUUGGUGAGGUAAAGGCUCACCAAGCCGACGAUCUGUAGCUGGUCUGAGAGGACGACCAGCCACACUGGGACUGAGACACGGCCCAGACUCCUACGGGAGGCAGCAGUGGGGAAUUUUUGGGACAAUGGGCGCAAGCCUGAUCCAGCAAUGCCGCGUGCAGGAUGAAGGCC